UACGUAGGGUGCGAGCGUUGUCCGGAAUUAUUGGGCGUAAAGAGCUUGUAGGCGGUUUGUCGCGUCUGCCGUGAAAAUCCGGGGCUCAACCCCGGACUUGCAGUGGGUACGGGCAGACUAGAGUGUGGUAGGGGAGACUGGAAUUCCUGGUGUAGCGGUGGAAUGCGCAGAUAUCAGGAGGAACACCGAUGGCGAAGGCAGGUCUCUGGGCCACUACUGACGCUGAGAAGCGAAAGCAUGGGGAGCGAACAGG
RNAcentral lists this ribosomal RNA (253 nucleotides) under uncultured bacterium. RNAcentral's name for it is "partial 16S ribosomal RNA". It matches the Rfam family "Bacterial small subunit ribosomal RNA", at positions 524 to 776 of the family's 1533-position model. The record is from RNAcentral.